Molecule: long non-coding RNA, 1085 nt
Organism: Monomorium pharaonis (pharaoh ant)
Lineage: Eukaryota; Metazoa; Arthropoda; Insecta; Hymenoptera; Formicidae
Exons: 2
Source: RefSeq, a predicted model, not a curated record
GUGGUUCCUCGUUUUUUCAUAAAAUCAAAAAUACAUUUUACGCGACUGACCAAUCAGAAAGCUCGUUUAAAGGCAAACAUUGGGUCUGUUCACAUUGCUUUCAACGCCCGGAUACAUAUUUAUCUCGUUGUACAUGGCAACCUAUGUAUAUUGCAAGCAAAGUAAAGUCCACAUGGGUUUGCGACUUUCCAUGCAAAAGAUUAACAAGAUCUUUAUACUUUCACGCAUUUUCGUAUGCAUUUGUAUCAUAAUAUAUUAUAUAGUUACUAGAAACCAUAUGUAAAAACUGCUUGAAUUUGAGCAUUUAAUAUACCAUUAAAAUACAAAGGAAUCAUUACAGAUACACAUACAUUUUAAAUUCGCGCCUUUAUUUCAUGCACACAUGACCACCGAGAAUGCGUAUAUGGCCGCAAAGCAUGUACGUAUAACCGUAGAGCAUGCGCACAUGGCCGCGGAGAGUGUUCGUGUCGCUACAUUUCGUCGAUGUGACAUGUUACAUGUACCAAACGAUCACCAAAAAUCGCCUUAUUACGAUGUGCAACUAAGGUGUAGUUACAUUGUAAGAAAAUAGACCAAUCCCAAUCAAGUAUUGUGUUGUCCGGAAUUUUAUGUGUAAUGGCCUUUAGGACAACGCGCUCGAAUCAGGUGUUGAUGUUAUUUAACGCAAUGUUGAGAUAGUAAUUAAUGUUAUAAUAGUAAUUAAUAGGUUUGUUCGCGUUGCUUGAAAUCCUCAAAAAUGUUUGUACACUUGAAACGAGAUAAAUAUAUAUCCGGGCGUUGGAAGCAAUGUGAACAGACCCAAUGUUUGCCUUUAAACGAGCUUCCUGAUUGGUCAGUCGCGUAAAAUGUAUUUUUGAUUUUCUGAAAAAACGAGGAACCACCAAACGUUUUGAAUACGGUACCAAACAUCACCAAGCGACGACCAAUCGAUUGAAAAAAAAAAGUAAGAAAAGUCAAAGUGGGGGGGCUAACAGAAGAAUUAAAAUUUGUUUUUGAUUUCCUGCAAAAACGAGGAACCACCAAACGUUUGGAAUACGGUACCAAACACUACCAAACGAUCACCAAACGAUUGGUAAAAAAAAAAA